This is a microRNA precursor of Nicotiana attenuata, 95 nucleotides long. It matches the Rfam family "MIR6152 microRNA precursor family". The record is from Rfam. NCBI's taxonomy places the organism in Eukaryota, Viridiplantae, Streptophyta, Magnoliopsida, Solanales, Solanaceae.
UGGACAGCUUAUUGUAUUCGACUGUAUUCACGGCGUGAAACAGGGAUUAUACUGUUUUUAAAGGGAAAGUAAAUUAAUUAACAUAAUAGACUCCU